RNAcentral lists this long non-coding RNA (597 nucleotides) under Lathyrus oleraceus (garden pea). Its description in RNAcentral is "Pisum sativum (pea) long non-coding RNA (PSAT_LNC005371)". The record is from RNAcentral. Lineage: Eukaryota; Viridiplantae; Streptophyta; Magnoliopsida; Fabales; Fabaceae.
AAAAGAUAUAAUUGAAAAGGAGAAAAAUAUCAAACUCCGAAGAUUAAAUAUCGAAAAGGUGAAGAUUGAAGAGGAAAUGAGACACAAGUUAAGAAAAUUAGAAAUUGAUAAACAAAAGAUUGAAGAUGAGACAAAUGUCAGAUUGAGAACAGUCCUUCGGAAAUAUUCUAAAAUUUAAAUGGAAGAAGAGACUAUAGUAGUAUUAUCGGUUAGAGACACCUAACUCUUGUAUUGUAUUGGCUUGUGUGUAAUCAUGUUUUUUUUUAAUGUCAACUUAUCAACAUGUUUUAAGUAUUUUGAGUUUUAACUAGACUCUCAUUAAGGUUAUUUCCUAACGAUUGCUCUCUUGGGGUCAUCGAUGUUAGUUUGGGUGAUCAGAUCGAUCUUCUUAAUCAGUUCUAAUAUUCUACUUUUCUUUUUUGAAAAUGCAUGUUAAUGCCGAGAAGGCUAUAUUUAAUAUUUAGAGGAAAUUUGUUUGGGGAAGGGAUUGAAGGUGAGACAAAAUAUAUUGGGUUAGGUGGGUUGAUAUUUGCAAGUAUAAGCAAAAUGGUGUUGAAGAGUAGUAUUUUGGACUUCUAGUCUGAAAAGUGAUAUUUA